This is a long non-coding RNA of Oxyura jamaicensis (ruddy duck), 3985 nucleotides long. RefSeq lists it as uncharacterized. The record is from RefSeq and is a predicted model, not a curated record. The transcript has 2 exons. Lineage: Eukaryota; Metazoa; Chordata; Aves; Anseriformes; Anatidae.
ACCCCUUAUAUAUAUUUGGGAAGCUGGCCUUGAUAGGAUCAGGACAUUAAUUUAAAGCGCUUAAGGGUUUGGUUUGCCUGGCAGCAAUGAAUGCUCCUCAAAAUGCAAAACAGCCCAGCAAAUACUAACUACUGAGGAAAUAAAAAGGAAUCUAAAAGUGCUCUGUUUGCAAGUUGGCUUAGAAUACAUUACGGUUUGAAGUGCUCCCCUAACUUACGCUAAUUAUAGUUUAGCAAACAUUUUUGAAGAAACUCUUUGUGAUUUGUUUGCAGUGUGUCGUUUGGGGUUUUGUGUCUCAUGGGGUUUUGUGUAUGAUGGCAUAUUUUGCAGACUUGCACUUUGUGGGGUUAAUUUCACAAUCUAUCCUUUUUUCUCUCACCAGGCUAAUUUUGGGUGCGGAAAAGUAAUAACAACAAAAAAUAAAUCAGCUGUGGAAAAACAAUGGAAGUUGUGCUAUGAUGCCUGAAACACUGGUAAAUUUACUGAGUUAUGGGUCUGGAUUCAUACACAAGGACUCAGAGUGCCCCCCCCCAAAAAAAGCCUUCCCUUGCAGCAUUUUGCACCAACCUUCACUUACCACCACAAAACACCACCAAAACAGAGCAAUUCAUCCAGAAACUGAGGUACCUUUCAGUUGGUCACUAGAUUUAUGUUCUGUGACAUCCCAGUGACAUUUUUCACUCAGGCAGUGCUGCAAAUUCUUAACCCGAGGUCCAUUUGACAUGGUUAAAUCUUUGUCCCUCACUAUAUGGAACUUCCUACCCAUCUGGAUGUCAGAGACCUUUUGCUUCAUCUUCUGGCAGCCCCUGCAGGUAGCAAAAAAAGAGAUUGGCUGCACAUUUCAGGCUGGUGAAAUCCACCACAUUCAAGAAGUGACAGCUGAAGGUUGGGUCACUUAGCCAGGCACGUCCUUGACUCAAUGGGGAUGCACUCAGAGAGAGACAACAGCCCCUGGGCCGGUGUCUGGGGGAACUGGGGUGAUUCACUCUCCACAGGCAUUGGUCUUUCUCCAUCAACAGAGGAAGCCUUAAUGAGUAGAUUAGACGGACACCUGAGAUGGCUUUGACUCACAUUGACCAGAGAAUCCCUCUCUCCUAGUCACCAGUCCAGGGAGGUGAGACACUGAAACAACCAUCUCUGGCUCUUCAACAAACCGAACUUCAGAAAGUCAGAGCAAUUGGGCUUUUCCAGCUCUUUGGGCAUAAAGCCCUUGGGAGACAAGACAUUACUGUGCACACAACUGAUAGCCCUCAGCCCUUCCUCACCAAAGGGAAUGUGAGCUCCAAGAAGGCUGCUGCUGCCUAUAGACGUGAGGGUAUCUAGAGGCAGCCAGUAGCCAUGUUCUCUCACCCUCUUUAACCCCCCUCCAAAGGCAUUUUCAUUGCAAAUCACAAAACCAACGCUAAACCUCCUUAAAAUGUUAAGCCUUCUAAUAUCAAGCUCUCUGAAAAGGAUACACACAUCGAAACUCAGAAAGCCAUAAGACGUGACUACAACACUGAGAUUCACAAGGCUAUUAAUUGAACCUGUAAUUGCAACUUACACGAGUUUGAGGGUCUGGUGGUAUAAAUUAGUUGCGUAAACUGAUGCUGUUGCCUUAUACAACUGGAAUAAUUCAACAUGUUUAUAGCGUGACUUUCAGAUUACACCUUUGUAAUAUUUUAGGAUCACAGUUCAUGCUGGGUUGCCAGCACAAUUGGCAAUAUCAGUUAAAACAUACUGCUGGCAAAUACAAAAUACUUCAAGCUAAAGCUUGUAACUUCCAUGAUCCUUUAAAUUCUAAACCAAGGUUGAUCGGAAGUGGAAUGCACAUUUGAAUCCAAAGAACAGUACAAAAGGCAAUUGUUUCAGCUCUUUCGCUCAGCUAGAGCUACCACACGUUCUACAUGGGAAAGCUGCAUCCUGAAUCAGAAGUCAGGCUGGGAGCUGCCGUGCCACCGCUCCCUUUCUGCACCCCAUUAUACACAUCAGCUGACUGAGAGACACCUGGAACAUAUCACAGACUGCAAUUAAACAUCUGCAAACCAAUCGUGCUGCAUCAGCCCCACUUCCAAAACCUCUUACCAGAGCUGCCGGCUUCACACAAGGUCUUCGCAAGGAACACCAAGUGUUUCAUCUGUUAGCACAUAAGAUCUCAGAAACCAACAACUUGUUGUGAGUAAGGACAUGGGAAAUGGGAGAAGAAAAAAUUGCAUUUUUUUAAAAAAGGUAAUUCAUCAUACUUACAUCAUUUCUGAGGGAGAAUGGGGGACAGAGGAAGGAAAGAAGAAAAAUGUUUUGAUGAGGGGUUGAGUGAAUCAUUUUAACGACUUGCAAUCUCUCCCUUUGUCAGCGUUCUUCUCCCUGUAUGGGCUGCUGAAAAUGGAAUUCAUUAUGAGAAUAUGUGAAGUUCACUAAUUUGUUUGUUGCCUCUGGAGAUGAAUCUCAACUAGUUCUUAAAAUAUAUUUUAUGCGAUAGUCUCAAAGAACCAUGCUCCAUCUCUGUAAUUAUAGACAGCCAUAGAAAACUCCUUGCAUUCAGAUAGGACAAUGGCAAUAACAGCAUUUGAUAGGCAUAAGAUUGGAUCAUAAUAUGCAUUUUUACGCACACACAGCUUCAUGGACUCUUGUCCACGACAUUCACAAGGUGUUAAAGAAUUGAUUUGGUUAGUACAUCCUCAUUCUCUUGUAUCCUAAAACCAAGGUUGUCCAUGAGAAUUCAGUGUAGUAAUGUAUUUUUUCCUCUCAUUAGCCUCUGUCUGCUCUAUGUUAGAAGUCAAGUCUGGGAUUUUCAAAGGAUGUUCCUCAUAAAAUUCAUCAAACACUGGGCCUGAAUUUGCCUCCCUCCCAGCUUCAGCCAACAAACUGGCCAUGUAUUCUAAUUUCAUCUUUGAGACUCCCUCUAUGGCUAAUGUAAGGAGAUAGGCAUCUCCAGACGGUGAUUCAUCAUGUCCUAAAAUAGGCAGCUAGGAGAGGUGGGAGGAAGCAGCCUCUGGAGGCACUUGCCUCGCUCUUUAUUGACUACCAGAGGCAGUCUAGACAACCAGACAACCAGACCAGGCGCCCAACUUCUGGAUGGUUAAAGUUAGGCGAAAUUAGUCCCACCCUUUGGGCGCCGAAUUUCUUCAGCACCUUUGAAGUCUUAAUGAGAGUACACAACAUCACACGCUCUAGAUCUGCUCGGUUCCUGCUGUACGCGUAUGUCAUAUCUCCGCGUGGUGAUUAGCACCUGUAAAUCUGAGCCUCCCAACAAAGCAAAGGAUUGGUUUGAUCUUUUUCCAUGCUGAUGUCUUCCUCUCACAGAACUGCACAGUGGAAAUAAGUGUGGGAUGUAUGGGAACCCAGGCCCUUGAAUGAGAUGGAAUCACACUGCCUGUUAAAGCAAUAAGAUCAGAAAAGGAAAGGAAAACAUUGCGGCUAUUACUAGGCUACAGCAGCCUCCCUGUAAAGGUGGAAGAACUCUUCUCCCUUGCCAUUGAAGCUGUUUGCUUGGACAGAAGGGAUUCUGUGAGCCCCGCAGAGGAAGGAAUUGCCCACAGAAGCUGGGCCAGGUCCUCCUGGGAAGCGUGUUCAGGUGGCAGGAGAUACCUCUGCCUUUUGUUAUGCUAAGGCACCAGUGCCCAAGCCCUUGUUCGACUUGAUUCGUGUAGCUUUGUGACGUACUGCUGAAUUCCUGAUGAAGCGCCCAGCUGAUUCAUGAGGCGCUAAUGUUCAGAGAGGCUGGUCGCAGCUUUAAAGAAAAGCACUUCCUAAAUUAACUUAUCAGCUCAGCAUCUUGAAAUGGUGAGGGGGAAGACUGAAGGUGAGAAAGCAACACUAAUUCUGUGUCAUCUCCCUGACUUAUUCUUCUCUUGUGACAGAAUCAUCUAUUUUCAGUGGAAACGCCAUAACCUUUUCAAGAUACUUAAACCCCUCUUAAUGAAUAUUUACAGCUGCUCCAUUUUCCUUUGUUGUAAAAUCUUUCCCGUGGUUUUCUUCAUUAAAGAUCAUGACUGUUUUCUUUUGU